Hypoxylon sp. CI-4A is the source of this 99-nucleotide non-coding RNA. The record is from the annotation of a GenBank genome assembly. Lineage: Eukaryota; Fungi; Ascomycota; Sordariomycetes; Xylariales; Hypoxylaceae.
GGUCCCAUAGCUCAGUUGGUUAGAGCGUCGUACUAAUAUCUCGAGAUUCGAAAUAUGGAGUCAAUGCGAAGGCCGAGAGUUCAAGCCUCUCUGGGACCA